Long non-coding RNA from Oncorhynchus masou masou (cherry salmon), 1257 nucleotides. RefSeq lists it as uncharacterized. NCBI's taxonomy places the organism in Eukaryota, Metazoa, Chordata, Actinopteri, Salmoniformes, Salmonidae. The record is from RefSeq and is a predicted model, not a curated record. The transcript is spliced from 3 exons.
AUAGACCACAGUCCCAGGAGGGGGAUCGGAGAAGUCUUGCACUGUUGCCAGGAAUUCUAAAACGCUAGAAUGCCUCAGGAAAGGACUAGCAGCAGCCAGGCAGUGCACCCAUGGUUGUCAACAACAAGCCAGUCGCAGAGGAAACGUGUGCCAACCGCUGGAAAGAGACAGCUGGGGACAGACAUAUCUGUAGGGUCAAUGGAGCAGUCCCCUCCAAAGGAAGGGGAUACACACCUCAGCAAGCAGCCUAAUACCUCCUCUCGAUGAGUAAGGGUGCUUUCCAACAAAAGAGGCACAAUCUGAUCAGGUAAAUGGCUUUUGCAUUUCGUUAUCAAGUGAGAUCAAAGGGGGGGGUGAUUUUGAAUCCCUGUACUAUCAAUCACUUGUCACCUUAUGUGUCUAUCAUCUGUUCUACAGCCUCUGGCUGGCUAUAUCCUCACCUGCCUAAUAACAGGAAGUUCACCAUUAGUGGGUAUUGCCUCAGCCUCACCGCAGAGUGUCAUCUCAUUUGAAGCACGGGAUAGCUAUAAAACAGCAUUCUCUCUGCCCCAUGGCAAUGUGUGUAGAAUCGUAGGAAGUUAGCAGUUUUCUCCCAAAAAAACACUCCUACCGUGCAGGAGCCCCCGUGAAACUGCGGUAUGCCACUGGUGUAGCUACUUAUGUUACUGCUUUUUUGGGGGGAUGAAUGAACUAGUCUUGCAAAUAUUCUUUGGGGAGAGAUCUCAAGUAGGCUAGUCAUUUUAAACAUGAGCAGAUCGAGGACCUCUAUGUCUUUGGUUUGCAUAUGCACCACCACCACCACCUGAGAAUGUGGCCUCCUGUCCCAUUAUUUUUAUGUUGUAUUUAUUUAUUUUAUUUCACCUUUAUUUUUAACCAGGUAGGCCAGUUGAGAACAAGUCUCCAGCCAGCCGCUAAACAGGCUGAUUGAUAACGCAGUGUCCAGAGUGGACGAAGUGACAGAAACAAAUAUGUGGCUGAAAUGUAUGUAGAAUAAAUGGGCACAGCAUUGCCCUGGGUAAUGUGUGGCUAUUGAGUAGGACUAGGACCUGUGUUUCUGUAGGAGUGCUGAUAGAGGUUCAGCUUAGCCCUUUAGAUCGUCGUUCAUUUGAUUAUUAUGGACAGAGACCACCUGACGCUAGAUCAGCACUCCUACUCUGAGGCACUUGGUACAUGCGAGCCAUUUAACUCUACCUUGAAACGACUUCAGUAGAGUUGAGAGAGAUUUGAUUAUCUCUGGGUGCCCUCUACUGGCAUUGA